Molecule: ribosomal RNA, 1749 nt
Filed under: Salmonella enterica subsp. enterica serovar Paratyphi B var. L(+) tartrate +
Lineage: Bacteria; Pseudomonadati; Pseudomonadota; Gammaproteobacteria; Enterobacterales; Enterobacteriaceae
Description: partial 23S ribosomal RNA
Rfam family: Bacterial large subunit ribosomal RNA
Source: RNAcentral
GGGACACGUGGUAUCCUGUCUGAAUAUGGGGGGACCAUCCUCCAAGGCUAAAUACUCCUGACUGACCGAUAGUGAACCAGUACCGUGAGGGAAAGGCGAAAAGAACCCCGGCGAGGGGAGUGAAAAAGAACCUGAAACCGUGUACGUACAAGCAGUGGGAGCACAGGUUUACCUGUGUGACUGCGUACCUUUUGUAUAAUGGGUCAGCGACUUAUAUUCUGUAGCAAGGUUAACCGUAUAGGGGAGCCGGAGGGAAACCGAGUCUUAAUUGGGCGUUAAGUUGCAGGGUAUAGACCCGAAACCCGGUGAUCUAGCCAUGGGCAGGUUGAAGGUUGGGUAACACUAACUGGAGGACCGAACCGACUAAUGUUGAAAAAUUAGCGGAUGACCUGUGGCUGGGGGUGAAAGGCCAAUCAAACCGGGAGAUAGCUGGUUCUCCCCGAAAGCUAUUUAGGUAGCGCCUCGUGAAUUCAUCUCCGGGGGUAGAGCACUGUUUCGGCUAGGGGGCCAUCCCGGCUUACCAACCCGAUGCAAACUGCGAAUACCGGAGAAUGUUAUCACGGGAGACACACGGCGGGUGCUAACGUCCGUCGUGAAGAGGGAAACAACCCAGACCGCCAGCUAAGGUCCCAAAGUCAUGGUUAAGUGGGAAACGAUGUGGGAAGGCCCAGACAGCCAGGAUGUUGGCUUAGAAGCAGCCAUCAUUUAAAGAAAGCGUAAUAGCUCACUGGUCGAGUCGGCCUGCGCGGAAGAUGUAACGGGGCUAAACCAUGCACCGAAGCUGCGGCAGCGACGCUUAUGCGUUGUUGGGUAGGGGAGCGUUCUGUAAGCCUGUGAAGGUGGCCUGUGAGGGUUGCUGGAGGUAUCAGAAGUGCGAAUGCUGACAUAAGUAACGAUAAAGCGGGUGAAAAGCCCGCUCGCCGGAAGACCAAGGGUUCCUGUCCAACGUUAAUCGGGGCAGGGUGAGUCGACCCCUAAGGCGAGGCCGAAAGGCGUAGUCGAUGGGAAACGGGUUAAUAUUCCCGUACUUGGUGUUACUGCGAAGGGGGGACGGAGAAGGCUAUGUUGGCCGGGCGACGGUUGUCCCGGUUUAAGCGUGUAGGUGUGUGUUCCAGGUAAAUCCGGUUCACUUUAACACUGAGGCGUGAUGACGAGGCACUACGGUGCUGAAGCAACAAAUGCCCUGCUUCCAGGAAAAGCCUCUAAGCAUCAGGUAACAUCAAAUCGUACCCCAAACCGACACAGGUGGUCAGGUAGAGAAUACCAAGGCGCUUGAGAGAACUCGGGUGAAGGAACUAGGCAAAAUGGUGCCGUAACUUCGGGAGAAGGCACGCUGACACGUAGGUGAAGUGAUUUACUCAUGGAGCUGAAGUCAGUCGAAGAUACCAGCUGGCUGCAACUGUUUAUUAAAAACACAGCACUGUGCAAACACGAAAGUGGACGUAUACGGUGUGACGCCUGCCCGGUGCCGGAAGGUUAAUUGAUGGGGUCAGCGCAAGCGAAGCUCCUGAUCGAAGCCCCGGUAAACGGCGGCCGUAACUAUAACGGUCCUAAGGUAGCGAAAUUCCUUGUCGGGUAAGUUCCGACCUGCACGAAUGGCGUAAUGAUGGCCAGGCUGUCUCCACCCGAGACUCAGUGAAAUUGAACUCGCUGUGAAGAUGCAGUGUACCCGCGGCAAGACGGAAAGACCCCGUGAACCUUUACUAUAGCUUGACACUGAACAUUGAGCCUUGAUGUGUAGGAUAGGUG